Molecule: ribosomal RNA, 454 nt
Filed under: uncultured bacterium
Lineage: Bacteria
Description: bacterial SSU rRNA
Rfam family: Bacterial small subunit ribosomal RNA
Source: RNAcentral
GAACGGUAGCACAGAGGAGCUUGCUCCUUGGGUGACGAGUGGCGGACGGGUGAGUAAUGUCUGGGAAACUGCCCGAUGGAGGGGGAUAACUACUGGAAACGGUAGCUAAUACCGCAUAACGUCUUCGGACCAAAGUGGGGGACCUUCGGGCCUCACACCAUCGGAUGUGCCCAGAUGGGAUUAGCUAGUAGGUGGGGUAAUGGCUCACCUAGGCGACGAUCCCUAGCUGGUCUGAGAGGAUGACCAGCCACACUGGAACUGAGACACGGUCCAGACUCCUACGGGAGGCAGCAGUGGGGAAUAUUGCACAAUGGGCGCAAGCCUGAUGCAGCCAUGCCGCGUGUAUGAAGAAGGCCUUCGGGUUGUAAAGUACUUUCAGCGGGGAGGAAGGCGGUGGAGUUAAUAGCUUCACCGAUUGACGUUACCCGCAGAAGAAGCACCGGCUAACUCCGUG